Molecule: ribosomal RNA, 253 nt
Filed under: uncultured bacterium
Lineage: Bacteria
Description: partial 16S ribosomal RNA
Rfam family: Bacterial small subunit ribosomal RNA
Source: RNAcentral
UACGGGGGGUGCAAGCGUUGUUCGGAUUGAUUGGGCGUAAAGCGCACGUAGGCGGGUUUGUAAGUCGGGUGUGAAAUCCCCAAGCUUAACUUGGGAACUGCAUUCGAGACUGCAUAGCUAGAGUAUGGGAGAGGGAAGUGGAAUUUCAGGUGUAGCGGUGAAAUGCGUAGAUAUCUGAAGGAACAUCAGUGGCGAAAGCGACUUCCUGGACCAAUACUGACGCUCAUGUGCGAAAGCGUGGGGAGCAAACAGG